CUCGAGGAAGGAGAGUGGAGGGAAGGCAGCUGGAUGUGAAUGAUAGAACUCGGGAAGCUUCGCAAGAGAGAUGAGGUGUAACAUGUCGGAGCGUUACUAGGACUAAACCACCUCUCCCCAGUGUCGGGGAUUAUUGAUACUUAUUGUUCCUAUUAAUUAAGGUCAUUUCGAUACCUCAUAGAGACUUCAUCGGUUUCUGUGAAGGUGGUCAUGACCUUUAACUGGUGGAAAAUAUGGCCACGUACUUAGCAGUUUUGGUAACGUUCCUUUCCCGGAUUGCGGCUGUGACGCUAACGGAACUUAUUGACGAUGGAAUCACUUCCAGUUGCGUUGUUAAACGUCAGUUCCAAUCUCCUUAUGUCACACCCAUUCUGGAUCAAGUUGCGAUAGUAACUGGAUGUAGUAGCCAGGAUAUCACCUCUACUUCUCAGGUAGGUGUUUUAAUCUAUUGAUUAUAAUCUAUAUUAUAUAUACAGAAAUUAUCAAAGUAUCAUAUCAGAUUCAUUCACCGUAUAAAGUACAUGAUCAUAAAUCUUUUAAAUAAUCCGUCCAAUGAAGAUGCAAUCAUAAGUUCUUUAUUUGAU
RNAcentral lists this long non-coding RNA (584 nucleotides) under Androctonus crassicauda. The record is from RNAcentral. Lineage: Eukaryota; Metazoa; Arthropoda; Arachnida; Scorpiones; Buthidae.